Molecule: ribosomal RNA, 492 nt
Filed under: uncultured bacterium
Lineage: Bacteria
Description: partial 16S ribosomal RNA
Rfam family: Bacterial small subunit ribosomal RNA
Source: RNAcentral
AGUGAACGCUGGCGGUAGGCCUAACACAUGCAAGUCGAACGGCAGCACAGUAAGAGCUUGCUCUUACGGGUGGCGAGUGGCGGACGGGUGAGGAAUACAUCGGAAUCUACUUUUUCGUGGGGGAUAACGUAGGGAAACUUACGCUAAUACCGCAUACGACCUACGGGUGAAAGCAGGGGAUCUUCGGACCUUGCGCGAUUGAAUGAGCCGAUGUCGGAUUAGCUAGUUGGCGGGGUAAAGGCCCACCAAGGCGACGAUCCGUAGCUGGUCUGAGAGGAUGAUCAGCCACACUGGAACUGAGACACUGUCCAGACUCCUACGGGAGGCAGCAGUGGGGAAUAUUGGACAAUGGGCGCAAGCCUGAUCCAGCCAUACCGCGUGGGUGAAGAAGGCCUUCGGGUUGUAAAGCCCAUUUGUUGGGAAAGAAAAGCAGCAGGUUAAUACCCCGCUGUUCUGACGGUACCCAAAGAAUAAGCACCGGCUAACUUCGUG